AGCGCAGGGUGGUACGGGGUACUACCCAGGAGACUACUCCGAAGCGAGAACUCAUAUACGAGUCUGAUACAUAAGUGCCUUAUUUAGCUUCCUAGAGGGCCGCGUCUACAGUGUGUAGAGUAUACCUACAGCUCGACGGUAGCUGUAUUAUGAUGUCAGCCACACGGAACUGAGACACUUCCGACUCCUACGGGAGGCUGCAGUCGAGAUCUUUUCCAUGGACGCAAGUCUGAGAAUGCGACGUCGCGUGAAGGAUGAAGCGUUUCGGCGUGUAAACUUUUUUGCCAGGGAGGAACGUUUUUUGUUAACAGCAGAAAAACUUGACUGUACCUGGCGAAUAAGCCACGGCUAACUCCGUGCCAGCAGCCGCGGUAAUACGGAGGUGGCUAGCGUUACUCGGUUUGACUGGGUGUAAAGGGUCCGCAGGCGGUCAAAUAAGUAGAAAGUGAAAUCUUCCGGCUUAACCGGAAAACUGCUUCCUAAACUGUUUGACUAGAGGCUGAAAGAGGAGAGUGGAACUGUUGGUGUAAGGGUGAAAUCUGUGGAUAUCAACAGGAACGCCCGUGACGAAGGUGGCUCUCUGGUUCAGACCUGACGCUCAGGGACGAAAGCUAGGGGAGCAAACAGGAUUAGAUACCCUGGUAGUCCUAGCUGUAAACGAUGGGCACUAGGUGCUCCUGUCUUUGACGGGGGUGUCGAAGCUAACGCGUUAAGUGCCCCACCUGGGGACUACGGCCGCAAGGCUAAAACUCAAAGGAAUUGACGGGGGCCCGCACAAGCGGUGGAACACGUGGUUUAAUUCGAUGCUACGCGAGGAACCUUACCAGGGCUUGACAUGCUGGGAGUAAUCGCCUGAAAGGGUGGAUGACCUGUAACCAAUCAGGAUCCAGUGCAGGUGCUGCAUGGUUGUCGUCAGCUCGUGCCGUGAGGUGUUCCCUUAAGUGGGAAAACGAGCGCAACCCUCGCUCUUAGUUGCCAUCAGCCUGUUUUCAGGAGUUGGGCACUCUAAGGGGACUGCCUACGUUAAGUAGGAGGAAGGCGGGGACGACGUCAGAUCCGCAUGGCCCUUAUGUCCUGGGCUACACACGUGUUACAAUGGCGUGUACAACGGGGGGCAAGACCGUAAGGUGGAGCAAAUCCCUAAAAACACGUCCCAGUCCGGAUCGAGGCUUGCAAUUCAGCCUCGUGAAGUUGGAAUCGCUAGUAAUGGCGCAUCAGCCACGGCGCCGUGAAUACGUUCCCGGGCCUUGUACACACCGCCCGUCAAGCGCUGAAAGUGGGAGGCGCCCGAAGUCCCGACGUAAGUCGGGAUCACGGUGAAGUUCAUGAUUGGCGCUAAGUCGUAACAAGGUAACCGUA
Molecule: ribosomal RNA, 1359 nt
Filed under: uncultured bacterium
Lineage: Bacteria
Description: partial 16S ribosomal RNA
Rfam family: Bacterial small subunit ribosomal RNA
Source: RNAcentral